This 1354-nucleotide long non-coding RNA is filed under the name Piliocolobus tephrosceles (Ugandan red Colobus). RNAcentral's name for it is "lncRNA (ENSPTEG00000000608.1)". The record is from RNAcentral. Lineage: Eukaryota; Metazoa; Chordata; Mammalia; Primates; Cercopithecidae.
GAACUUGUAAGUAAAAAGAAUCCUUAUGUAGUUAAAGAAAAAUUAGAUAGUCUUCGAAAAAAAGAAAAACAAGGAAAACUUUUACCAUUAGAAAAACAAAAAUUAAAACAUUAUGAGAAUUUAUGGAAUUUAAUAAAAGAAAAAGUAAAAAACAAAAGUUAUGUUUACAAUGACAAUGGUACAAUAUAUAAUAUAAAUGAUGACAUUGAGGAUAAAAACAAAAGAGGAAAUUUAAGCUAUUCACCUGAUCAUAGUUUAAAUAAUGAACAAAAUAAUAAUUCGGAAGUAUCAAUACAUAAUUCAUGUGAAGAUACAGAUGAAGGUACAGGUAAAUGUACAGAUACAAGUAUAGACACAGAUACAGGUACAGAUGCAGGUGUAGGUACAGAUGCAGGUGUAGGUACAGAUGCAGGUGUAGGUACAAAUGAAGGUGUAGGUACAGAUGGAGGUACAGGUACAGGUACAGGUACAAGUACAGGUACAAAUAAAGACAUCAAUAAUGAUACUGAUGAUACUGAUUUUUUUUUAGAAUCCUUACCUUCUUUACCUAAUGGAUUGCCAAAGGAAUGUAUAGAACGUCUGACAAACUCGUUUGAAAAUAAUAUAUUAAAUUAUAAUUAUAAUGCAAAUAUAUAUAACAAUUAUAAUUUACCUUACUCACAUAUUAAUACAUAUAAUAACAGGGCUUAUAUGGACAAACAGUAUUUAUAUAACUAUUAUGUUUACAAUAAAUAUUAUAGUAAUUAUAAUUAUAACAACAUUAAUAAUACUACGAGUAAUGAUGAUGGUAAAGUAGAUAAUACUACUAAUACCUCUGAUGAAAAUAAUAAAGGUAUUGACAUUACAAAUGAUAUAAAUAAAAAUAAUGUCUCUCAAGAUAUUAUAAAAAAAAAUAUGAAUACAGAUAACAACAAUAUAUGUACAAAUAAUGAAAACAUUGACAUUACCAAUAUUAAUGAUAAAGAUAUAACACAAGAAUCAACUAUAAAUAUGAAUAAUACUAAUAGUAACGAUAAAAACAGUAAUAGUAGCUAUUUGAAUAAUUACUUGAACAAUUAUAACAAUGAAUAUAUGUUAUAUAUGAAUAAUUUUUUAAAAUCAGGUGAAAAUAAUAAUAAUUAUAAUAUAAAUAAAAUGGCUAACUAUCCUAUGAAUUACUACUAUCAUAAUUAUUCUAAUUAUAAAAAUUUGAAUAACCACAAUACUAAUAAUGGUGAAAAUUAUUUUACCCAUCAAAAUAACUACUAUAUGAAGUUUAAUAACCCUACUGCUAUUAACCCUGUCGGUACUAACCCUAUCGGCACUAACCCUAUCGACACUAACCCUAUCGGUACUAACCCUGUCGGUACUAACC